AUUGAACGCUGGCGGCAGGCCUAACACAUGCAAGUCGAGCGGAUGAAGGGAGCUUGCUCCUGGAUUCAGCGGCGGACGGGUGAGUAAUGCCUAGGAAUCUGCCUGGUAGUGGGGGAUAACGUCCGGACACGGGCGCUAAUACCGCAUACGUCCUGAGGGAGAAAGUGGGGGAUCUUCGGACCUCACGCUAUCAGAUGAGCCUAGGUCGGAUUAGCUAGUUGGUGGGGUAAAGGCCUACCAAGGCGACGAUCCGUAACUGGUCUGAGAGGAUGAUCAGUCACACUGGAACUGAGACACGGUCCAGACUCCUACGGGAGGCAGCAGUGGGGAAUAUUGGACAAUGGGCGAAAGCCUGAUCCAGCCAUGCCGCGUGUGUGAAGAAGGUCUUCGGAUUGUAAAGCACUUUAAUUUGGGAGGAAGGGCAGUAAGUUAAUACCUUGCUGUUUUGACGUUACCAACAGAAUAAGCACCGGCUAACUUCGUG
This 484-nucleotide ribosomal RNA is filed under the name uncultured bacterium. RNAcentral describes it as "partial 16S ribosomal RNA". It matches the Rfam family "Bacterial small subunit ribosomal RNA", at positions 30 to 507 of the family's 1533-position model. The record is from RNAcentral.